UGUUGCAAUUAAUUACAUCUCUAGAUCGGAUCAUCUGUAUUUAAAAGUGAUUAGUCAGGCUUUUAAGCAUUAUUGAUUUCAAAAUGUUUAUCAAUGAACUUCCAGAGGAAUGUUUGCUCAUCAUUUUUGGUUCAAUAAAUGAAUUGGAUGAUUUAUUGAACUGCUAUAAAGUAUGUCGUAAAUGGAGCCAUUUAAUUGCAGAGCGAACCAGAAAAGUUAAAUAUUUGACUGAACAUGAAGGUGAUUGGCCAGAUAGGAAGCCAUUUCCAAGUUAUCCGCUGAAUCAUGUUUAUUAUCGAACAGAGGAACCAAUCGAUGGAAC
This is a non-coding RNA of Tetranychus urticae (two-spotted spider mite), 322 nucleotides long. The record is from RefSeq and is a predicted model, not a curated record. NCBI's taxonomy places the organism in Eukaryota, Metazoa, Arthropoda, Arachnida, Trombidiformes, Tetranychidae.